GAAUAAGGACUCGAAGGUGACCUGCGGAGGGAUCAUU
RNAcentral lists this ribosomal RNA (37 nucleotides) under Ramichloridium apiculatum. RNAcentral describes it as "partial 18S ribosomal RNA". Lineage: Eukaryota; Fungi; Ascomycota; Dothideomycetes; Mycosphaerellales; Dissoconiaceae. The record is from RNAcentral.